RNAcentral lists this transfer-messenger RNA (237 nucleotides) under Chloroflexota bacterium. Its description in RNAcentral is "partial transfer-messenger RNA". It matches the Rfam family "transfer-messenger RNA", at positions 1 to 260 of the family's 374-position model. From Rfam's summary of the family: Bacterial tmRNA, also known as 10Sa RNA or SsrA, is named for its dual tRNA and mRNA-like properties. Lineage: Bacteria; Bacillati; Chloroflexota. The record is from RNAcentral.
GGGGACGCGUGGUUUCGACAGGGGGUAGCAGAGCGGGAUUGCAGGCCGAGGUCCGCCCACCUCGUUAAACCGGCGGAACAAAAGUAACUGGCGAGCGCGAACUCGCACUGGCCGCCUAGAGCGGCCCGUCCGCCCUUCCCUCCCCUGAGGGGAAGGACCGGGCGCCACUCAAUCAGGGUGCGGCCCUAGCCCACGCCGAUCCGCGAAGGCCAAAGACCUUUUUCGGCUAGCCUGACC